UACGUAGGGGGCAAGCGUUGUCCGGAAUCAUUGGGCGUAAAGCGCGUGUAGGCGGUUCGGUAAGUCGGCUGUGAAAGUCCAGGGCUCAACCCUGGGAUGCCGGUCGAUACUGCCGGACUAGAGUUCGGAAGAGGCGAGUGGAAUUCCCGGUGUAGCGGUGAAAUGCGCAGAUAUCGGGAGGAACGCCGAUGGCGAAGGCAGCUCGCUGGGACGUUACUGACGCUGAGGCGCGAAAGCGUGGGGAGCAAACAGG
This 253-nucleotide ribosomal RNA is filed under the name uncultured bacterium. RNAcentral describes it as "partial 16S ribosomal RNA". It matches the Rfam family "Bacterial small subunit ribosomal RNA", at positions 524 to 776 of the family's 1533-position model. The record is from RNAcentral.